This is a long non-coding RNA of Neofelis nebulosa (Clouded leopard), 361 nucleotides long. RefSeq lists it as uncharacterized. The transcript is spliced from 2 exons. The record is from RefSeq and is a predicted model, not a curated record. Lineage: Eukaryota; Metazoa; Chordata; Mammalia; Carnivora; Felidae.
AAAAUAGCUUAGGACAGCAAACUCUACAGGAUUAUACUCUAGAGCUUUAGUCUGGCUUCUCCGGGGAGAUGUUGGCUUUUUCUUCAGAUAACAACUGUUCUGCAGGGAAGCAGAUACUGAGAAAGCAGCUCUUAGAAGAAAGAACAGAGAUGACACUGGGAAAGUACUAAAGAUCAGAUACCCAGAAGUGCAAACAAAUGUCAUCUAUUUAAGUAACCCAGACAAUCCAAGAAGCAGUCUGAAGGGAGUUUGAUGCUAAAUUGCUCUGAAGACUUGGGAGGUAAAUCCUAAUCGUGUCAAAGAUUUGGCACAAAGACAUGUUUCAGGGUGAGUUAAUAAACAAACAUGCUGAUGGAUAGUA